GCGCCUGAUCCUCAUUGGCGUCCUCAGGUAGGAUGAGUCCAUGAUCAUCCAAUCUCUGACCAGCCUCAUUGUAGGCUUGCCCAUCCUCAUCUCUCAAAACUCUUUCUGCAUCAGCUCUGAUGACUCUGUCAGCCAUUGCUAAUUUAUGAGUUUUUCGGUUGGUGCGUUCAAGUUUUCCCAAGUCUAGAACAGACAAGUUGAUAAGCUCCUUCUGUUUUGUGCUCCUUGUUUGCCUAGGCAUACACCUGAAACACAGAAAAGAAGAAGACAAGAAACGCGUGAGUAACAAAAUAGAAGUAAAAACUAGACGAAAUCUCUAAACAAAACUCAAUGAUGAUUCCCAAGAACUCCGGCAACGGCGCCAAAUUUGAUAUGGUUCAAAUGACCUAGAACUACUCUCUCAAAUAAGAGAUCAAUUACAGUAUUUUAGGAUCGAAUUCACGGAGUUCUUUUGUUCAAAUAGUGAGUUAAAUGUCGAGAUUAAGCUAGCAGGGUAUGAGUGAAAUAGUAAGUAAACAAAGCAAGAAAACAGCAGAUUGAUUGUGUUGUGAAAGAUUUAAUAAAGAGGUAGGAACAGGGUAUUCUCAGGAAACUAUUGGUUAGUAGAUCUAAUAAAAACUAGGUUGUUAUCGAACCAUUCUUAAACUCAAACUCUAAUUAUGGAAUAGUGGGCGUGCUGCGAAACUCCCUAUAUCUAUAGCUAAUAAUAACAGGAGAAGUCGAGAAACUAUCAACCUAAAUAUGCAUUCUUAACGAGUUCAAUUGUUCAUCUUAGUAAAUAGGCCGAUUCUUAUUACACAUCUAUAAACCAGACUCAUCAAAUAAUAGAUCCAACUACAGAUACCUAUGGCGGGAAUAUCUAUUGUCUGGAUUCAAGAUCUAGUUAAUUACUCUAGAUCUAGCAUUAGGCAUAAUUAAAGAUGAAGAAUUCUACAGAUAACCUAGCAAAGGGAGCAAUCUACUAAACCAUAUAAAUCCCUAAUGAGAAACCCUAUUCCUAAUAAUCAGGUUACUCAGACAUAUUGGAUGAAGCAAACAACAUAUUUGAGAUAAAAAGCAUAAACAUAGUAAAUAGAGAAAGGGAAAGAAGGGAUCUCUUCACUGUAUAUAGAUCUGAAUGAAACUCUCAAGAACAAUGGAUGAAUAGCUUAUGUCUCUCACAAUAGGGUUUUGCAAAGAACUUGAUAAAAGAAACUUAGGUCUAAAAACAAUAUAUAUAGACCCUAAAAACGUCCAGGGACUAAUAAUGUAAAUAGGGAAACUUCUGGGGCAAACUUGAGCUUCUGUAAACUCGAAAGCGUCUAGGGUUUUUGCUGGGCCGAAACUGGUGUCGAUCGACACCAAGAGUGUGUCGAUCGACACUCGUCGCUGAUUCCUAAACCAAAAUCGUCCUUAGCUUCCUUUUCUUUAGAUUUUGCUCCAAAAUGUCUCCUUAUCUCCAUUGUUGUCCCACUGCAUAGAAUACCUGAAAAGAUACUAAAAAGACUCGAGAAAUAACAUAAAGACUCAAAAUCCUAUUCCUAAAACAUAGAUAAAAUCGGUGAAAAUUGGGUUAUAUCAAACGUUUCUUUGAUGGACAUGAUCCUCAAGAAGACCAAAGUAAACUUUUGUAUUCAAGUAUGGAUUCUCAAGGAAGUUACUCAAACAAUCGAGAUCCAGAAAAC
RNAcentral lists this small RNA (1664 nucleotides) under Arabidopsis thaliana (thale cress). RNAcentral describes it as "ATSL276170". Lineage: Eukaryota; Viridiplantae; Streptophyta; Magnoliopsida; Brassicales; Brassicaceae. The record is from RNAcentral.